GGUGGGGAUCCUCUGGACCAUGGGGAAGGCAUGCAAGCGGCACUGGGAAUGGACAAGAGCAGGGCUGGAGCACAUAAAGUGGACCUGAGACGGUGGCACUGGGCUUUAUGUGUGCUAUGGGAAACAGAGAAGAACCUAAGGGAGAGGGUGUUUAUUUGAAAGCGGUGAGUUUGGAAAAUGAUAUUGAGGAAAUAAGCAGGCUGAAUAGAAGGCACCCGAAAAAGAAUGCCAGGAGAGAAAGUGAGCGACAACACCAGGGGACAAGACAAUGGUAAUUCCAUAAUUAGGGGCCUGUUUUCCAGAAUCCAAAGAAGGGUAUAAGUACAGCAUCUUGCAAGUCAUGCAGCAAAACAGGUAAGAGAUGGCCCCUCUUUCCCCUUGUGUUGAAAUGUUGGUAAUGCUAUUUUUUGACAUGAACAAUAUAGAUAUAUUGCGGAGGAGAACACAGAAUUUACGUCAAUUUUUAUGAUAAAACAUGAGUGGCCAAGGAAAUUUCAAACCUGCUGCUGGUUGCUUCAGGCUGUACUACUCAAAUAAACCAAAACAUUUCUUUUCAUAUACUUUGAACUCUGAUUUCAUCGUCUUUUCCAUCUGGACUGUUAGGCGGGGACGACCAGACUCUCUUUCUUUAAUAGUCUAUGUAAUCAUUGAAGGGCCUAUCUUUGUUAUUUUAAAAUGAGGAUCUGUGCAUGUUUUAUGAAAUUCAUCCUAUCCCACUUCAGUUCAUCAGCUGGCCCAGAUAGGUUACUUUAAAGAAAACCGGGAGAAGACCAGCCAGCCUGAGAACCUUGGAGAAGUGUUGGCUUUCAAAUGGUUUCUGAAGUUAGGCAGAUGUUUACUCUCUGUCAUGGUUUGAAUGCUCGCCCCUCUAAAACUCAUGUUGAAAUUUAAUUGUCAAUGUAACGGUAUAAGGAAGUGGGGUUUUAAAACAUGAUUAGGCCAUGAGGGCUCCACUCUCUUGGGUGGGCUUACUGCCUUUACAAAGAGGCUUUGGAGAGUAGGCUGUCUCUCUUCUCACCCUCUAGCCUUCCUCCAUAUUAUGACACAGCAAGAAGGUUCUCGCUGGAUACCAGCACCUAGAUCUUAGAUUUUCCAGCCUCCAGAACUGUGAGAAAAUGAUUUUCUCUUCUUUGUAAAUUAUCCAGUCUGUGGUAUUCUGUUCUAGCAGCACAAAAGGGACUAAGACACGCUCAUUCCUGCUUGUUACUACAGCAUGGCUCCUACGAAGAGCGCCAAAACCUGCAGGGAAGUUGUGCUUUGGAUGAACCUCUUACUUCUUGGGCAUGGAAGUCCUUUCACCAAGAACAGAGACAGCCCUUGCCAAAUCUAAACUCACCGGGCCUAUGUUAUUUCAGGUGAAAACACUGUGUUUGUUCCAGGCACAAACACAUACAGGUGACUCAUCAGGUUCUAAGAUGGAACAUAAUGACACAAGAGUACCAGGCACAAAACCAUGCUCUCAAGCCACUCAGAAGGCACUUUAGAUGAUGAAAACCAAACAGAAGCUGAGUGACCAACCUCCCCACCCCCAUCACACUCAGCAGGCUGAGCAGAGUCACAGAACACACACACCUGGGUGGAACAGAUGGCACCCCGGUGCUAUUGUUAUUUUACAGUCUGGCUGAAUGGCAAGCUGAACUGUCAAGGACAAUAUGUAGACUAUUGCAGUUAAACAGGGGAUUGUGUCUCCCAAGAAAGGAUUCCACCAUCUCGGUGGAGUUAAGUAUAGCUUCUCCACACAGGGGAAGUGAGGACAGCUGAGAUUUUCCAGGAGAAGUGAUUUAGAUUAUAUAAAGACCCUUAAUGAAUUAUUUCCAGGCAUUGUCUGCAGUGUCAUAUUGCUUGAGCUUUCCGUUAGCAGCUUCCUGGAAAAGAACUUCUGCUUGUCUGGGUCUUGAGUUUCUGUUGCUUACAGCAGCCAGAGUUGCCAUCUGUGCACAUAUAGAGCAUAUAUUUUAAAUUUUGACAUUUCCAAAAUAUGACUGUUUUGUAAAAUUAUUUGGAUAAAAUAUGUCUGAUGGGAAAGCACACAGCCUGUGUGUGAGAACUUGGGAAGCAAACUGACGAGAGGCUCCUGGCAGGUUGUAUUAAUUCUUAACAUGCAAAACAGCCACAUGUUGGAAGCUAAUACUGGAGCAAGGCUGAAAUCUAUUAUUAUUUCAGAGUAUUAGCAUUGUUUGGUGUAGAAUAACUUAACCGUAAUGACACAUUGAGAAAUCAAUAUGACACGAGAGCCAGUGCGCAUUUUCUUAAAGAUGAACUGGCUGAUGGUUUUAGCAAUGUUUUAACAGAAGGAAUAAGCAAAUUUCAAAAGUAAAUGAAUCCGAAGCUGAUAAGCAAGUAAUACAUUUGUAGUACAUGAAUGAUUUUGUUUGAGUUUGCGAUUAUCACCAUAUUGCUCUAGAAAUAUAUAGUACGGCCUUUUACUUUGUGUUCCAAUUACUCCACAUGUCCUAUAGUUGUAUGCAUUUUAUAUAUUUGUCAUUCAUAAGCAAGGAACUCAAAUUUUCUGUUCUUAAAAAACACUCAAUUUAGUAUUGUUUGACAGGAUGGUAUGAAAAGUUGAAGAUGGAGAGAAAAAAGGCUGGAUUGUAAUUUUAGUGACCAAAAGAGAAAAUAAUAUCCUCCUCUAAGAUUCCUUACUCUAUUUUGUCAAAGUGGAAGUAACUUAACUUUUUGCUGCUAAUUAUAAGAAAAUUAAAUUCUUGUUAAAAGUAAUUUGAGUAGUACAGAAGUAUAAAGUGAAAGGUGAAGGUAUCUCUGUAAUCCCACCCCACCGAGAUUACAACUGUUAACAGUUUGAUAUGUGUAUUUCUUGAUUUCUAAAUGCAUAGGUAUAAGCAAAUAUGUAUAAAUAAAACAAUUGAGGUUAUUUGGAAUCCACUGCUCCAUAAGCUGCUUUUUCAUUUGACUGGAUCU
Molecule: long non-coding RNA, 2919 nt
Filed under: Homo sapiens (human)
Lineage: Eukaryota; Metazoa; Chordata; Mammalia; Primates; Hominidae
Description: HSALNT0265328
Source: RNAcentral